The sequence is a transfer RNA, 99 nucleotides long. It matches the Rfam family "tRNA". Rfam says of the family: Transfer RNA (tRNA) molecules are approximately 80 nucleotides in length. Their secondary structure includes four short double-helical elements and three loops (D, anti-codon, and T loops). The record is from Rfam.
GAAGCGGUGGCUCAAUGGUAGAGCUUUCGACUCCAGUUAAAUCCUGGAUUUUCCGGAAUUGCAAUCGAAGGGUUGCAGGUUCAAUUCCUGUCCGUUUCA